This 438-nucleotide unclassified non-coding RNA is filed under the name Hevea brasiliensis (rubber tree). The record is from RNAcentral. Lineage: Eukaryota; Viridiplantae; Streptophyta; Magnoliopsida; Malpighiales; Euphorbiaceae.
AAAGAGGUUCUCCCAAAAUAGGUAUGUUUAAUUUUAAACAAACCUUGCAAGCUAUUAUGAUAGUUUGUACAUAUACAAUAAUGGGUUACACCUUGUCUUAUCUCAUUUUUUAACAUGAAUUUUGGUAAAUUUUACAUCACUUAUCUACGAUCAAUAAACAUGGUUAUUAGAUAUGCAAGUGACAACUAAGGUCUAAAAGUGUCCUAGAGCCUAGUUACAGGUGGCAGUUGCCACCCAUACCCAUUUACCAUCCUUAUCCAUCCAUUUAAAAUGGCUAUGGGUCAUAUAUGGGUUAUACAUAAAAUGUAAGUGGGUGAGCAAAUAAAAAAAACCUUCUACUAACAUGGGUGGAUUGACUUCACGCCCUCAUUUCUUUUGGUCCUGUUCCUUGCCUCAUGCAGAAAGAGGGAUCAAGGUGGGAAAGGGGGAAGGCAGCUG